UACGAAGGGGGCUAGCGUUGCUCGGAAUUACUGGGCGUAAAGCGCACGUAGGCGGUCUUUUAAGUCGGGGGUGAAAUCCUGGAGCUCAACUCCAGAACUGCCUUCGAUACUGGAAGACUUGAGUCCGGGAGAGGUGAGUGGAACUGCGAGUGUAGAGGUGAAAUUCGUAGAUAUUCGCAAGAACACCAGUGGCGAAGGCGGACUCACUGGCCCGGUACUGACGCUGAGGUGCGAAAGCG
This 239-nucleotide ribosomal RNA is filed under the name uncultured bacterium. RNAcentral describes it as "partial 16S ribosomal RNA". It matches the Rfam family "Bacterial small subunit ribosomal RNA", at positions 524 to 761 of the family's 1533-position model. The record is from RNAcentral.